CCUACGGGUGGCAGCAGUGAGGAAUAUUGGUCAAUGGACGAGAGUCUGAACCAGCCAAGUAGCGUGAAGGAUGACUGCCCUAUGGGUUGUAAACUUCUUUUAUAGGGGAAUAAAAUGUGCCACGUGGGGGAUUUUGUAUGUACCAUAUGAAUAAGGAUCGGCUAACUCCGUGCCAGCAGCCGCGGUAAUACGGAGGAGCCGAGCGUUAGCCGGAGUUAUUGGGUUUAAAGGGAGCGUAGGUGGAUUGUUAAGUCAGUUGUGAAAGUUUGCGGCUCACCCGUAAAAUUGCAGUUGAAACGGGCAGUCUUGAGUACAGUAGUGGUGGGCGGCAUUCGUGGUGUAGCGGU
This 347-nucleotide ribosomal RNA is filed under the name uncultured bacterium. RNAcentral describes it as "partial 16S ribosomal RNA". It matches the Rfam family "Bacterial small subunit ribosomal RNA", at positions 338 to 682 of the family's 1533-position model. The record is from RNAcentral.